GAGGAAUAUUGGUCAAUGGGCGCUAGCCUGAACCAGCCAAGUAGCGUGAAGGAUGAAGGCUCUAUGGGUCGUAAACUUCUUUUAUAUAAGAAUAAAGUGCAGUAUGUAUACUGUUUUGUAUGUAUUAUAUGAAUAAGGAUCGGCUAACUCCGUGCCAGCAGCCGCGGUAAUACGGAGGAUCCGAGCGUUAUCCGGAUUUAUUGGGUUUAAAGGGAGCGUAGGUGGACUGGUAAGUCAGUUGUGAAAGUUUGCGGCUCAACCGUAAAAUUGCAGUUGAUACUGUCAGUCUUGAGUACAGUAGAGGUGGGCGGAAUUCGUGGUGUAGCGGUGAAAUGCUUAGAUAUCACGAAGAACUCCGAUUGCGAAGGCAGCUCACUGGACUGCAACUGACACUGAUGCUCGAAAGUGUGGGUAUCAAACA
Molecule: ribosomal RNA, 421 nt
Filed under: Rhizobium sp.
Lineage: Bacteria; Pseudomonadati; Pseudomonadota; Alphaproteobacteria; Hyphomicrobiales; Rhizobiaceae
Also listed under: 121 other names
Description: bacterial SSU rRNA
Rfam family: Bacterial small subunit ribosomal RNA
Source: RNAcentral